AGUGGGAUAGCUAGGUCAACUGGCGGUUCCAGUCCAAGCUUUCUAAGGAAUCUCCAAACUGCUUUCCAGAUUGGUUGCACCAAUUUGCUAUCCCACCAGCCAU
RNAcentral lists this microRNA precursor (103 nucleotides) under Marmota monax (woodchuck). Lineage: Eukaryota; Metazoa; Chordata; Mammalia; Rodentia; Sciuridae. The record is from RNAcentral.